CCUACGGGAGGCAGCAGUGGGGAAUUUUGGACAAUGGGCGCAAGCCUGAUCCAGCCAUUCCGCGUGCAGGAUGAAGGCCCUCGGGUUGUAAACUGCUUUUGUGAACAGGGCGGUACCGUAAGAAUAAGCACCGGCUAACUACGUGCCAGCAGCCGCGGUAAUACGUAGGGUGCAAGCGUUAAUCGGAAUUACUGGGCGUAAAGCGUGCGCAGGCGGUGAUGUAAGACAGAUGUGAAAUCCCCGGGCUCAACCUGGGAACUGCAUUUGUGACUGCAUCGCUGGAGUGCGGCAGAGGGGGAUGGAAUUCCGCGUGUAGCAGUGAAAUGCGUAGAUAUGCGGAGGAACACCGAUGGCGAAGGCAAUCCCCUGGGCCUGACUGACGCUCAUGCACGAAAGCGUGGGGAGCAAACAGGAUUAGAUACCCUUGUAGUC
RNAcentral lists this ribosomal RNA (432 nucleotides) under uncultured bacterium. RNAcentral describes it as "partial 16S ribosomal RNA". It matches the Rfam family "Bacterial small subunit ribosomal RNA", at positions 338 to 795 of the family's 1533-position model. The record is from RNAcentral.